Cyprinus carpio carpio is the source of this 3460-nucleotide long non-coding RNA. The record is from Ensembl. Lineage: Eukaryota; Metazoa; Chordata; Actinopteri; Cypriniformes; Cyprinidae.
GAUCUAGCAGCAGUUUUUGGACUGGAUACAUACUGUAGUGAAGCAGAAUUCAAUAACAGUUAAUAAUAACAUAAGAGUAAUAAUUUAAAAAAAAUGGCUGAAAAUGUAGUCACUCUCAGGCCAUCCAAGAUAAGUUUGUUUCUUCACUUCACAAGAUGUUAAUUAAUGGACUGGAGUGGUGUUGAAUAAAGGUUUUUUUUUUUGUUAGCAGUUUGGACUCUCAUUCUAACGGCACCCAUUCACUGCAUAGGAUUCAUUGGUGAGCAUUUGAUGUCAUGCUACAUUUCUCUAAAUCUGUUCCAAUGAGGAAACAAACUCAUCUACAUUUUGGAUGUCCUAAGGCUGCGGUGUAAGGUCAUUUUCGUGGAUAUAUGACAUCAGUUCACCUCAAGUUCACACAAGCUGUGUCCAAAAGCUGAAAAAUAGAGGGCAACAGCGGGUCAAAUUGCUCCUGGGCCUCAAUCAUCUUCAUCAUCAUUUACUGAUCAUCUUCCUUUGGUCAUUUUCCAGCAUGAUCUUUCCAGAACCUGAUCCCCAACUAUUUUACAACAGAGUAAACCAUAUUAUUAUAGGAUUAAUGAUGCAAAUCUUGGAUUGCAAGAAGUGCACAGAGCAUAAAAGACAAUUAAAAGCCAUCAUUAAAGAGGCCAGAAAUUCCAAGUUGGUAUGGUUCGUGGUUUAACACUCCCCAUGCAGUAAAUAUGCCUUGAACUUAGUGCCAAAUUCAGUCAUUUGUGGAUAAUAUCCACACAAACAAUCCCCAUGUACAUCCUCUGACUCAUCGUGAGAUCAGCAACAACUCUGAAAGCUCUUAAUAGAACUUUAUAAUAAUAAUACUACAUUUCCUGUCUCAUGUGUGUCAUUGAGGUUAACAUUAUUUUAAUUUAUGGCCACGCUUCAGUUGGGGGACCAAUUCUCACCAUUGACUUCCUAUUAACUGCAAAUUUUGGAUCAAUAAACCCUACUUUGCUGAUGAUAAAUACUUAGUGAGGUAGCUGUUAAGCAGUAACUACUUAAAUCUAAAUGCAACUGUAAUCUGUUACAGUUACUAAGAAAAAAAAAAUGUGUAAAUAAAUUAUGUUUACUUAUGAAAAUGUUAACGAUUACAAAGGAGUAAAAUGCUAAGAUAUGUUGAAUAAUAUUAAUUUGUUGCUUUGCCUGUUUUUGAUGUUCACAAUGCCUCCUGCCAUUUAAAGAGAUUUGCAGUUCAAAACAUCUGCCAGUUACUGUGCAUGAAUCCACAUUGUCGCUGAGAGCUUUAAGCCAUAACCUGUCUGAGAGUUGAUUAACUGAUUAUAAGUUGAAAACAUUUGUUAGACAUUUAGAAAAGUAAUCAAAUGUAAUCAGUUACAUUACUUUAAUAAAGUAAUUUAACUACUUACACUACUUAAUUACAUUUUAAAUAGGGUAACUUGUAAUCUUUAACUUAUUACAUUUCCAAAGUAACCUUCCCAACACUGUUGUUAAAUUAAGUAUGUGUAGGAUUAAGUGAUUUAUAAUAUGGUCCCGCAGAAUAAGGCAUUAAUGUGCAUUUAAUAAGUACUAAUAAAAAGCAAGUAUACAUGCUAAUAGGCAACUAGUUAAUAGUGAGAACUGGUCCUUGAAAUAAAGAACUAAAGAAUUUAUAAAAUUUACCACAGUAAAUAAUAAGUACAGGCAUGAGUAGAGUUUUGGAUAACAACUGUCUUCAAUGCAGAGUCUUCCAUUUCCAAACUGAAUUAAUCAAAAAAUCUAAAGCUUUGACUUUGCAGUAUAUAGAGAACAGCAUUAAAAAGAAGUGAAUUUCACUUUCAGGUCUGACGCAGUGAACAUGUGACAUGACAAUAUGACAAUAGGCAUAUGUUUUUCAUUUUAAAAGAACUUGCUAAGUGUCAGCUCACCAGAAUUACCCAUCCAAAGACAAUUUAAGAUGGUCCAAAUGAAUCAGAGCUGUUCUUUUUUUCAUUCUCUUAUUAUCAGUAUUUACUUUUUUAUCUCUAUUUGAUUUUCUACUGCUUUUAUCGCUAAUUAAAUAGGGAAUUAUGUUUAUGUUUUCAGAAUUAAUGUAGUGAAUACUAAACUGAAAUAUGUUUCAUUCAAAAAAUUAUAUAAAAAAAAUUAUUUUGAAAUCUCUUACAUCCUUGUAUUAGCAACAUGCCUUAUUUGACAUGAAGUGCCAUCAGACAUGCUUUUCUCCCAAACAGACCUUGAGAUCAGUCAGUAAUUAAUGAUCCUCAUGGCAAGAACCAGCAUUAAACGAAGUGAACAAUUUCAGGACUGACAGAGAUUAUGAAACAAAAAUGAUUACGGUCAUUGUAAUAGAACAAUAAUAUCCUGCAUACUAAAGUAUUAAUGUGCUAGAUUAAAAUAGGCCCAUCCAUUAGAGCACUGAUUUUUCAUUUAAUCUUUAUGGGAAGGAAAUAAGAUUCAUAAUCCUUUGAUUUGCUAGGAAAUGGGAAGCAGAGGAAUAUCUUUUAAUAACCACAGUCUCCUUGACAGCCAAGUCAUGCAGUACGCAGAGCUGAGAACAGAGGAAAGCAGAAAGCAACUAUUGUUACUGCAUGGCAAAUAUUUGCAGAGUGGUUUGACAGUAAAGAUACAGAAAAACACAUAAAAAUGGCAUAUUUGUUUUUGUGAAAUUGUGAGGGGGAAAAAAAUGUUUUUGAGCAUUCUACAAAGAAUUUGGAUUAAGUGAGCCUCCCUUGUUCACUGUGUUGCCAUGACAUAGUUCUCAUUUGUUAAUUCAGCGUGACACAAUUUUUUUUAGAACAGAUUGACCUUUGAACUUUAUUUAAAUUCAAGAUGCAAGAUUCAAGAUUCAAGAUUUUUAUUUGUCACAUACAUGGUAUGGAGAGCAUAUGACCAGCAGUGAAAUGUAAGUCAGGUCCGCUCCAUGGACAGUGCAAUUAUUAAAGAACACAAACACAAGAAAAUUAUACAAAAUAUAUAUAUAUAUAUAUAUAUAUAUAUAUAUAUAUAUAUAUAUAUAUAUAUAUAUAUGAUAUGAUAUAGAAAAAGUAAGAUAAAAAAAUAAGAAUAAAAUAAGAUGCUUAUAGAAAAAAAAUGUGCAGGACAGUAUACUAUAGACUUAAUAAAUAUUAAGAUGAGCAGGAAUGUACAAGAGGAGAAUGUGCAAACAGGUUGUACAGGAUAUUUACAUAGCAGCAAUAGAGGUAAUAAAGUAAAUAUAUAAAAAUAAAAAUUAUAGAAAUUGCUGUGUGCAAGUGUGAAUGUCAGUAUAUUCAGUAUCUUACUGAUAAUUAAGUGAUGUCAUGAAGAGGUUAAGAGACUGAGUUAGAGUUUAGGAGCCUGAUGGCCUGGGGGAAGGAGCUCCUCCUAAGUCUCUCAGUUUUUGCCAUCAGGCUGCGGAAGCGCUUUCCAGAUCGCAGCAAAAUGAAAAGAGAGUUACCAGGGUGAUUUGUGUCCUUAAUGAUUUUAACAGCUCUGCUUUUGCAGCGUUUGAGGUAGAUGUCCUGCAGAU